Non-coding RNA from Musca domestica (house fly), 43 nucleotides. NCBI's taxonomy places the organism in Eukaryota, Metazoa, Arthropoda, Insecta, Diptera, Muscidae. The record is from Rfam.
CAAAAGGCUUUCAAAGCCACCAAGAGUAUUUUUAAAAGUAUUU